UUUAUUGUCCCAUACAAGAAUAUAUAUGGCUUAGGGGUGGGGAUCUCGACCGUUUACAAGUUUGCAAACAGAAGCUGAUGGGGGUGACCCCAAAGGACUCCCCAACUAGUUAAUUAUAUAUGUUUUAUUGACCCAUACAAGAAUAUAUAUGGUUUAGGGGUGGGGAUCUCGACCGUUUACGAGUUUGCAAACAGAAGGGUUUUGGGGUGACCCCCAUGGACUCCCCAAAUAGUUCAUUAGAUUUGUUUUACUGUCCCAUACAAGAAUAUAUAUGGUUAAGGGGUGGGAAUCUCGACCGUUUACAAGUUUGCAAACAGAAGGGGGUGGGGGUGACCACCAUGGACUCCCCAAAUAGUUCAUUAGGUUUGUUUUAUUGUCCCAUACAAGAAUAUAUAUGGUUUAGGGGUGGGAAUAUCAACCAUUUACGAGUGUGCAUAAAAAAGGGGGUGGGACUGACCACCAUGGACUCCCCAAAUAGUUCAUUAGAUUUGUUUUAUUGUCCCAUACAAGGAUAUAUAUGGUUUAGGGGUGGGGAUCUCGGCAGAUUACAAGUUUGCAAACAGAAUGGGGUGGGGGUGACCCCCAGGGACUUCCCAAAUAGUUCAUUAGAUUUGUUUUAUUGUCCCAUACGAGAAUAUACAUGGUUUAGGGGUGGGGAUCUCCACUGUAUACAAGUUUGCAAACAGAAGGGGCUUCCCUUUAAUUUCAAUAGAUUUGUUUUAUUGUUCCAUUCAAGAAUAUAUAUGGUUUAGGGCUGGGGAUCUGAACUGUUAACAAGAUAAAAGCACAUUCUGAAAUUGAACGGGUGGGGGUGACCCCCAAGGACUUCCCUUUAAUUUCAUUUGAUUUGUUUUAUCGUUCCAUACAAGAAUAUGGUAGGGGGGGAUCUUCCAUACAAGAAUAUAUAUGGUAUAGGGGUGGGGAUCUGGACCAUUUACAAGAUAAUAGCCCCCUCCCCCCCCACCGGACUUUCAUGUCAUUUGUUUAUUGUCCUUUGAUCAUUUCUGAAGACUGCAUGUGUCUAUCACUUACAGUUUUCAAGUUAUAUUCAUUUGAAAAUUUUAGAAAAUAAAAUCCCAUAGGGUUCUAUAGGAAACACCUCCCGUCUUCCUUCCCCCGAAAAUACCCCUUAAUAGACCCCAAUGCACAAACGAAAGAUUGAUGGAUCACCUAGACAUAUUAGUAAUAUUCUAUGAAACCCUAAGUUAAUCUGACCAGCGGUUUUGGAGAAACGCUGCAGACAAGUUCAUUUUUAAAGUGGCAGAAAAAAAAGAAAAGAAAAAGAAAAAAAAAAGAAUAAUAAAAAUAAUAAGAACUGAGCAAAAACAAUAAGUCCCUAAACUUUGUUUGGGAGACUUAAUAAAAAACCAUGACCCACAUUUAGUAAUUAAACUUCCCUUCCUUCCCUCCCACAAACAUUCAAAUGGAUUAGCCCUAUAGGAAUUUGAUCUAAAAAUGAAUACAAUAUCCAAUGUUAAUAUACAAGUUUGAUGACCAAAACAUUUAGAACUACAUAACUGUGUGUCAACAUCCUUCUACCAAGCAAAGGCUGCAACUUAAAAUUAAAUAACUGAAUACACACUAUUAUAUAAUCUUUGACAUAAUGAAUGAAAUAACAACUAACUAAAUAUAAAGCUGACGUCAGCAAUACAUUUUUUACAAGAUCAUCACUGAAAUUUGGCUUACUCUAAAUUAAAUACUGUGGACUCAUUUAUUUUUGUGUGUUCCAAUUUUUCAUGAAUUAAGGAAUUCUUGCAUUUUCUUGAAUAUUUGAUUGAAAAAAAUUUGCCAAAGCCUGCAUUAAUCCAAUAGAAAAUUAGCAAUUCAUUGAGCAUUAAAAUUUGUGUUCAACUGUUUGCAUAAAAUCCAUGAAAUUUGUUAUCUCAAGAAUAAUAAUAAAUUCACAGUAAUAUACUUUCUUAUCAUUAAAGCAUUGUGACAAUAAUAAACAAAUAACAGAGCACAUAUAACAACGAUUGAAAACUAUCUUGAACCACAGAAAUGAGGCAGUUGUGUGGGACUUAUAUGUUGGACAUUGUCAUCAGCAAAUGUAAUUAUAAAGCUUGGAGAGAGGAGGGUUUUUAUAAACAAAUAAAUCUAAUAUUGAUCAUAUGCUAAAAUGGCACAAUGAAUACAGCUCUAGUAUUUUAUGUUGAUAUAUUUUUUGUAAAAGUAGCUGCCGUUCAUGACAUUUUCCAUCACUUUGAAGAAAAAAAAAUGAAUGAUUUAUAUCAUAAGUGUUUGAUAACAAAAUUUAAUAAAUGACUUGUGGUGUCAAGCAGGAUAAUUUUGGUUCAUGCAAUUUCAGCAUUUUUUGAGAAACUAUUGAGAUUAUCAAUUAAGCUAUUUCUGUUGUCUAUUAUGCAUACAUACUACAAUGAAGUUGUCACAUUUCAGAACUUGUUAUAUAAAUAUAAAGCAAAAUAUAUAUAAAAUUCUUUCAUUGUUUUAUUUCCAAGUGUGUGAUUAUUAUGCAUAAAUUUCAUUUUUCACCACACACAAAACUCAACUCAUUCUAUUCAUGUACAUACAAAUUGUGAUUCAGCACAAAUGAUAAUACAUCAAAAUGUAAUGGUAUAAUAUUGUGUAUAUAUAAAACUUAUAAAAUAUAAUAAAAUUGUGAAU
Molecule: long non-coding RNA, 2625 nt
Filed under: Mytilus galloprovincialis (Mediterranean mussel)
Lineage: Eukaryota; Metazoa; Mollusca; Bivalvia; Mytilida; Mytilidae
Source: RNAcentral